UACGUAGGGGGCAAGCGUUACCCGGAUUUACUGGGCGUAAAGCGCGUGUAGGCGGCUGGCCAAGUGUGGUGUGAAAUCCCCCGGCUCAACCGGGGAACUGCAUUGCAAACUGGUCUGGCUAGAGUGCAGGAGAGGGAAGUGGAAUUCCCGGUGUAGCGGUGAAAUGCGUAGAGAUCGGAAAGAACACCAACGGCGAAAGCACUCUGCUGGGCCGACACUGACACUGAGAGACGAAAGCUAGGGGAGCGAAUGGG
RNAcentral lists this ribosomal RNA (254 nucleotides) under uncultured bacterium. Its description in RNAcentral is "partial 16S ribosomal RNA". It matches the Rfam family "Bacterial small subunit ribosomal RNA", at positions 524 to 776 of the family's 1533-position model. The record is from RNAcentral.